GCUAAAUUAGUUUAUGUAAAAUACCAGCUUGUGGAUCUGGAGAUAAAAAAAUUUUUAUUUAGCC
RNAcentral lists this transfer RNA (64 nucleotides) under Aporrhais serresiana. RNAcentral's name for it is "tRNA-His". It matches the Rfam family "tRNA". From Rfam's summary of the family: Transfer RNA (tRNA) molecules are approximately 80 nucleotides in length. Their secondary structure includes four short double-helical elements and three loops (D, anti-codon, and T loops). Lineage: Eukaryota; Metazoa; Mollusca; Gastropoda; Littorinimorpha; Aporrhaidae. The record is from RNAcentral.